GUUCCUAUAGUUGAAUAACAACGGUGGUUUUUCACGCCAUUAGUCCUGGAUAGAGCCCUGGUAGGAAUU
This 69-nucleotide transfer RNA is filed under the name Promethichthys prometheus. Its description in RNAcentral is "tRNA-Glu". It matches the Rfam family "tRNA". Rfam says of the family: Transfer RNA (tRNA) molecules are approximately 80 nucleotides in length. The record is from RNAcentral. Lineage: Eukaryota; Metazoa; Chordata; Actinopteri; Scombriformes; Gempylidae.